This 89-nucleotide transfer RNA is filed under the name Enterocloster bolteae. Its description in RNAcentral is "tRNA-Ser". It matches the Rfam family "tRNA". Rfam says of the family: Transfer RNA (tRNA) molecules are approximately 80 nucleotides in length. Their secondary structure includes four short double-helical elements and three loops (D, anti-codon, and T loops). Lineage: Bacteria; Bacillati; Bacillota; Clostridia; Lachnospirales; Lachnospiraceae. The record is from RNAcentral.
GGAGAUUUGGCAGAGUGACUGAUUGCGGCAGCCUUGAAAACUGCAGACCGGGAGAUCUCGGUUCCUAGGUUCAAAUCCCAGAUUCUCCG